This 446-nucleotide ribosomal RNA is filed under the name uncultured bacterium. Its description in RNAcentral is "partial 16S ribosomal RNA". It matches the Rfam family "Bacterial small subunit ribosomal RNA", at positions 338 to 795 of the family's 1533-position model. The record is from RNAcentral.
CCUACGGGAGGCUGCAGUCGAGAAUCAUUCACAAUGGGGGAAACCCUGAUGGUGCGACGCCGCGUGGGGGAAUGAAGGUCUUCGGAUUGUAAACCCCUGUCAUGUGGGAGCAAAUUAAAAAGAUAGUACCACAAGAGGAAGAGACGGCUAACUCUGUGCCAGCAGCCGCGGUAAUACAGAGGUCUCAAGCGUUGUUCGGAAUCACUGGGCGUAAAGCGUGAGUAGGCUGUUUCGUAAGUCGUGUGUGAAAGGCGCGGGCUCAACCCGCGGACGGCACAUGAUACUGCGAGACUAGAGUAAGGGAGGGGGAACCGGAAUUCUCGGUGUAGCAGUGAAAUGCGUAGAUAUCGAGAGGAACACUCGGGGCGAAGGCGGGUUCCUGGACAUUAACUGAUGCUGAGGCACGAAGGCCAGGGGAGCGAAAGGGAUUAGAUACCCGUGUAGUC